RNAcentral lists this ribosomal RNA (429 nucleotides) under Chloroflexota bacterium. RNAcentral's name for it is "Chloroflexi bacterium partial 16S ribosomal RNA". It matches the Rfam family "Bacterial small subunit ribosomal RNA", at positions 355 to 776 of the family's 1533-position model. The record is from RNAcentral. Lineage: Bacteria; Bacillati; Chloroflexota.
UGGGGAAUAUUGCACAAUGGGCGCAAGCCUGAUGCAGCCAUGCCGCGUGUAUGAAGAAGGCCUUCGGGUUGUAAAGUACUUUCAGCGGGGAGGAAGGGAGUAAAGUUAAUACCUUUGCUCAUUGACGUUACCCGCAGAAGAAGCACCGGCUAACUCCGUGCCAGCAGCCGCGGUAAUACGGAGGGUGCAAGCGUUAAUCGGAAUUACUGGGCGUAAAGCGCACGCAGGCGGUUUGUUAAGUCAGAUGUGAAAUCCCCGGGCUCAACCUGGGAACUGCAUCUGAUACUGGCAAGCUUGAGUCUCGUAGAGGGGGGUAGAAUUCCAGGUGUAGCGGUGAAAUGCGUAGAGAUCUGGAGGAAUACCGGUGGCGAAGGCGGCCCCCUGGACGAAGACUGACGCUCAGGUGCGAAAGCGUGGGCAGCAAACAGG